RNAcentral lists this ribosomal RNA (492 nucleotides) under uncultured bacterium. RNAcentral describes it as "partial 16S ribosomal RNA". It matches the Rfam family "Bacterial small subunit ribosomal RNA", at positions 29 to 507 of the family's 1533-position model. The record is from RNAcentral.
AGUGAACGCUGGCGGUAGGCCUAACACAUGCAAGUCGAACGGCAGCACAGUAAGCGCUUUCUCUUACUGUUGGCGAGUGGCGGACGGGUAAGGAGUACAUCGGAAUCUACUUUUUCGUGGAUGAUAACGGAGGGCAACUUACGCUAAUACCUCAUACUACCUACGGGUUAAAUCAGGGGAUCUUCGGGCUUUUCGCGUUUGAUUUAGCCGGUGUCGGAUUGGCUAGUUGGCAAGGUAACGGCCUACCAAGGCAACGAUGCGUAGCUGACCUGAGAGGAUGAUCGGCCACACUGGAACUGAGACACGGUCCAGACUCCUACGGGAGGCAGCAGUAGGGAAUCUUCCGCAAUGGGCGAAAGCCUGACGGAGCAACGCCGCGUGAGUGAUGAAGGUCUUCGGAUCGUAAAACUCUGUUAUUAGGGAAGAACAUAUGUGUACGUAACUGUGCACAUCUUGACGGUACCUAAUCAGAAAGCCACGGCUAACUACGUG